RNAcentral lists this ribosomal RNA (480 nucleotides) under uncultured bacterium. RNAcentral describes it as "partial 16S ribosomal RNA". It matches the Rfam family "Bacterial small subunit ribosomal RNA", at positions 28 to 507 of the family's 1533-position model. The record is from RNAcentral.
GAUGAACGCUAGCGGCAGGCCUAACGCAUGCAAGUCGAGGGGGAAGUUACUUUCGGGUGACUGAGACCGGCGUACGGGUGCGUAACGCGUAUACAAUCUGCCUUUCACUGGGGGGUAGCCCGAAGAAAUUUGGAUUAAUACCCCAUAGUAUAUAGGGACGGCAUCGUUUUUAUAUUAAAGCUUAGGUGGUGAAAGAUGAGUAUGCGUUCUAUUAGCUAGUUGGAGAGGUAACGGCUCCCCAAGGCGAUGAUAGAUAGGGGUUCUGAGAGGGAUGUCCCCCACACUGGUACUGAGAUACGGACCAGACUCCUACGGGAGGCAGCAGUGAGGAAUAUUGGACAAUGGUCGGAAGACUGAUCCAGCCAUGCCGCGUGCAGGAUGAAGGUCUUAUGGAUUGUAAACUGCUUUUGGAAGGGAAGAAUAAGGGCUACGCGUAGUUUGAUGACGGUACCUUACGAAUAAGCAUCGGCUAACUCCGUG